RNAcentral lists this ribosomal RNA (396 nucleotides) under uncultured bacterium. Its description in RNAcentral is "bacterial SSU rRNA". It matches the Rfam family "Bacterial small subunit ribosomal RNA", at positions 338 to 726 of the family's 1533-position model. The record is from RNAcentral.
CCUACGGGUUGCAGCAGUGGGGAAUAUUGCACAAUGGGCGCAAGCCUGAUGCAGCCAUGCCGCGUGUAUGAAGAAGGCCUUCGGGUUGUAAAGUACUUUCAGUCGGGAGGAAGGUGGUGAGCUUAAUACGCUCAUCAAUUGACGUUACCGACAGAAGAAGCACCGGCUAACUCCGUGCCAGCAGCCGCGGUAAUACGGAGGGUGCAAGCGUUAAUCGGAAUUACUGGGCGUAUAGCGCACGCAGGCGGUUGAUUGAGUCAGAUGUGAAAUCCCCGGGCUUAACCCGGGAAUUGCAUCUGAUACUGGUCAGCUAGAGUCUUGUAGAGGGGGGUAGAAUUCCAUGUGUAGCGGUGAAAUGCGUAGAGAUGUGGAGGAAUACCGGUGGCGAAGGCGGCC